This 73-nucleotide transfer RNA is filed under the name Tepidanaerobacter acetatoxydans Re1. It matches the Rfam family "tRNA". From Rfam's summary of the family: Transfer RNA (tRNA) molecules are approximately 80 nucleotides in length. Their secondary structure includes four short double-helical elements and three loops (D, anti-codon, and T loops). Further hydrogen bonds mediate the characteristic L-shaped molecular structure. tRNAs have two regions of fundamental functional importance: the anti-codon, which is responsible for specific mRNA codon recognition, and the 3' end, to which the tRNAs corresponding amino acid is attached (by aminoacyl-tRNA synthetases). tRNAs cope with the degeneracy of the genetic code in two manners: having more than one tRNA (with a specific anti-codon) for a particular amino acid; and 'wobble' base-pairing, i.e. permitting non-standard base-pairing at the 3rd anti-codon position. Lineage: Bacteria; Bacillati; Bacillota; Clostridia; Thermosediminibacterales; Tepidanaerobacteraceae. The record is from Rfam by way of RNAcentral.
GCCGACGUAGCUCAGCUGGUAGAGCAGCUGAUUUGUAAUCAGCAGGUCGCGGGUUCGAGUCCCAUCGUCGGCU